AGACGUGACGGUGAUCCAGCAGCGCUCGCUGUUUCUCUACGACUGGCCAGGGUUACGUUGACUUGGCUUAUCUGGCUGGCCAAGCAAGUAUCCCAUUCCUCCCUCACUGUUCCCUGUAUGUCCCUCCUGAAGCUGUCCACUUGGUAGAAGACAACUCUCUCCCGGGGGAGCAGUGUUCAAGUGAAGAUACACAAGUAGCUGUGUUCCUCUGCUAGGACUUCCAAACAAGACCCGGAGCCAGUCCUCCUCGACGGAUUUCAAGAGCCGGAGGACUGAGUCCUCCUGACACGCCCUUCUCUUAGAGCUUUCUAGAAAGAA
Non-coding RNA from Mus musculus (house mouse), 318 nucleotides. NCBI's taxonomy places the organism in Eukaryota, Metazoa, Chordata, Mammalia, Rodentia, Muridae. The record is from Rfam.